AGUGAGCGCUGGCGGUAGGCCUAACACAUGCAAGUCGAACGGCAGCACAGUAAGAGCUUGCUCUUACGGGUGGCGAGUGGCGGACGGGUUAGGAAUACAUCGGAAUCUACUUUUUCGUGGGGGCUAACGUAGGGAAACUUACGCUACUACCGCACUCGACCUACGGGUGAAAGCAGGUGAUCUUCGGACCUUGCGCUAUUGAAUGAGCCGAUGUCGGAUUAGCUAGUUGGCGGGGUAAAGGCCCACCAAGGCGACGAUCCGUAGCUGGUCUGAGAGGAUGAUCAGCCACACUGGAACUGAGACACGGUCCAGACUCCUACGGGAGGCAGCAGUGGGGAAUAUUGGACAAUGGGCGCAAGCCUGAUCCAGCCAUACCGCGUGGGUGAAGAAGGCCUUCGGGUUGUAAAGCCCUUUUGUUGGGAAAGAAAAGCAGCAGGUUAAUACCCCGCUGUUCUGACGGUACCCAAAGAAUAAGCACCGGCUAACUUCGUG
Molecule: ribosomal RNA, 492 nt
Filed under: uncultured bacterium
Lineage: Bacteria
Description: partial 16S ribosomal RNA
Rfam family: Bacterial small subunit ribosomal RNA
Source: RNAcentral